CCUACGGGUGGGCUGCAGUGGGGAAUAUUGGGCAAUGGGCGCAAGCCUGACCCAGCAACGCCGCGUGAAGGAAGAAGGCUUUCGGGUUGUAACCUUCUUUUCUCAGGGACGAAGCCAGUGCCGGUACCUGAUGAAUAAUCCACUGCUAACUACGUGCCAGCAGCCGCGGUAUUACGUAGGUGGCAAGCGUUAUCCGGAUUUACUGGGUGUAAAGGGCGUGUGGGCGGGACUGCAAGUCAGAUGUGAAAACCACGGGCUCAACCUGUGGCCUGCAUUUGAAACUGUAGUUCUUGAGUACUGGAGAGGCAGACGGAAUUCCUGGUGUAGCGGUGGAAUGCGUAGAUAUUAGGAAGAACACCAGUGGCGAAGGCGGUCUGCUGGACAGCAACUGACGCUGAAGCGCGAAAGCGUGGGGAGCAAACAGGAUUAGAUACCCGUGUAGUC
Molecule: ribosomal RNA, 444 nt
Filed under: uncultured bacterium
Lineage: Bacteria
Description: partial 16S ribosomal RNA
Rfam family: Bacterial small subunit ribosomal RNA
Source: RNAcentral